UGCCACAGCCAUAUCACCCUGCAGCCCAAGACCGGUUACUCACUGAAGCUAAGCAGGGCUGAGCCUGGUCAGUACCUGGAUGGGAGACCACUAGGAACACUAGGUUGCUGUUGGAA
This is a non-coding RNA of Danio rerio (zebrafish), 116 nucleotides long. The record is from Rfam. NCBI's taxonomy places the organism in Eukaryota, Metazoa, Chordata, Actinopteri, Cypriniformes, Danionidae.